GACGGAGGAUGCAAGCGUUAUCCGGAAUGAUUGGGCGUAAAGCGUCCGCAGGUGGCAGUUCAAGUCUGCUGUCAAAGACCGGGGCUUAACCUCGGAAAGGCAGUGGAAACUGAACAGCUAGAGUAUGGUAGGGGCAAAGGGAAUUCCUGGUGUAGCGGUGAAAUGCGUAGAGAUCAGGAAGAACAUCGGUGGCGAAGGCGCUUUGCUGGACCAUAACUG
RNAcentral lists this ribosomal RNA (219 nucleotides) under uncultured bacterium. RNAcentral's name for it is "partial 16S ribosomal RNA". It matches the Rfam family "Bacterial small subunit ribosomal RNA", at positions 524 to 742 of the family's 1533-position model. The record is from RNAcentral.